UGUUAGACCUCACAGCGAGAAACCGCUCCAAAAGAUUUGCUUUCAACCAGGCAAUAUAAGAUAUCUGAUUACCCAGAAGGGGCGGACAGCAAAAGCUUGAGGUGAUUUGUGAAGCUCUUGUCACUGAAACAAUGAAUCGGACAACUCCAAUUGUGUUCAUGUUGAACAGAAAGGUUUGCCAUAAAUUCCACAGAGUGGUGUCGCAAAAUCUCAAGGAAGGCAGGUGACAUUGGGCAGAAGUUGCAUGAGGUUUUGGAGCAAAGCGCUUGAUUCUUCAUGGACUGCCACCGUUGUGGGAUGUUCCUGCUGCUUCUUAAGACCAGCAAUGGGGAGUUAAGUAUCUUACCCAAGACCAUAUCAAUGGGGUCAGGCAGCGUGGGGCUUGGACCUGUAACCUUACAGUUGCUGAACUAGAACCUUCACUACCUGUGGCACCAUCGCCCUAGGACCUGUUCCGAAUUUCGACAAACCAGCCAUCCAGAGGGUCCACCACUGAACUUUCCACAGUGGAAAUCAUUUCAGAAGGGACAGUAGUAUUCAUGGAUGAGCAUGCAUUAUUUUAGAUUGAAAUGUUGUGUCCAGUGAUUCUUGAACAACUGAUAUGGACUGGCACAUCACAGUGAUGAAGUACCAAUGAAUUUAUAUUCUUAUUCUUUACACAUACUUUUAUUGCAGGAUACAUAUAGGCUGUCAUAGAUUGCAUUCUUGCAUUUUUCUUGUCAGAUACAUUUGUUGUUAAUGAACACAAGAAAAUGUGCAAUUGGUUUACGUGAAAUUGUUGCCAUGGAAUAAUGAAGAAAAAAAUAAAUUGGUUAAUUUAAUGAA
Engraulis encrasicolus (European anchovy) is the source of this 825-nucleotide long non-coding RNA. RefSeq lists it as uncharacterized. The transcript is spliced from 6 exons. NCBI's taxonomy places the organism in Eukaryota, Metazoa, Chordata, Actinopteri, Clupeiformes, Engraulidae. The record is from RefSeq and is a predicted model, not a curated record.